GACGAACGCUGGCGGCGUGCUUAACACAUGCAAGUCGAACGGAAAGGCCCUGCUUUUGUGGGGUGCUCGAGUGGCGAACGGGUGAGUAACACGUGAGUAACCUGCCCUUGACUUUGGGAUAACUUCAGGAAACUGGGGCUAAUACCGGAUAGGAGCUCCUGCUGCAUGGUGGGGGUUGGAAAGUUUCGGCGGUUGGGGAUGGACUCGCGGCUUAUCAGCUUGUUGGUGGGGUAGUGGCUGACCAAGGCUUUGACGGGUAGCCGGCCUGAGAGGGUGACCGGCCACAUUGGGACUGAGAUACGGCCCAGACUCCUACGGGAGGCAGCAGGGGGGAAUAUUGCACAAUGGGCGGAAGCCUGAUGCAGCAACGCCGCGUGCGGGAUGACGGCCUUCGGGUUGUAAACCGCUUUCGCCUGUGACGAAGCGUGAGUGACGGUAAUGGGUAAAGAAGCACCGGCUAACUACGUG
RNAcentral lists this ribosomal RNA (468 nucleotides) under uncultured bacterium. Its description in RNAcentral is "partial 16S ribosomal RNA". It matches the Rfam family "Bacterial small subunit ribosomal RNA", at positions 28 to 507 of the family's 1533-position model. The record is from RNAcentral.